RNAcentral lists this ribosomal RNA (254 nucleotides) under uncultured bacterium. RNAcentral describes it as "partial 16S ribosomal RNA". It matches the Rfam family "Bacterial small subunit ribosomal RNA", at positions 524 to 776 of the family's 1533-position model. The record is from RNAcentral.
GACGGAGGGUGCAAGCGUUGUUCGGAAUUAUUGGGCGUAAAGGGCUCGUAGGCGGCUCCGCCAGUCUGACGUGAAAUCUCCACCGCUCACCGGGGAGGGGCCGUUGAAUACUACGGAUCUGGAGUUCGGUAGAGGACCAUGGAAUUUCGGGUGUAGCGGUGAAAUGCGUAGAUAUCAGGAGGAACACCUGUGGCGAAAGCGGCGCACUGGACCACAACUGACGCUGAGGCGCGAAAGCUAGGGGAGCAAACAGG